Molecule: non-coding RNA, 74 nt
Organism: Zootermopsis nevadensis
Lineage: Eukaryota; Metazoa; Arthropoda; Insecta; Blattodea; Termopsidae
Source: Rfam
UGAGUACUGGUUUCAAGUUGGUGGUAAGAUACUUCUUCAUUAAAAAUUCUAGCACCAUUUGAAAUCAGUGCUUC